Molecule: ribosomal RNA, 483 nt
Filed under: uncultured bacterium
Lineage: Bacteria
Description: partial 16S ribosomal RNA
Rfam family: Bacterial small subunit ribosomal RNA
Source: RNAcentral
GACGAACGCUGGCGGCGUGCUUAACACAUGCAAGACGAACGAUGAAGCCGGAGCUUGCUCCGGUGGAUUAGUGGCGAACGGGUGAGUAACACGUGAGCAAUCUGCCCUUGACUCUGGGAUAACUGCGGGAAACUGUAGCUAAUACCGGAUACGACACCUUGGGGCAUCCCAGGGUGUGGAAAGAAUUUCGGUCAAGGAUGAGCUCGCGGCCUAUCAGCUAGUUGGUGAGGCAAUGGCUCACCAAGGCGACGACGGGUAGCCGGCCUGAGAGGGUGACCGGCCACACUGGAACUGAGACACGGUCCAGACUCCUACGGGAGGCAGCAGUGGGGAAUAUUGCACAAUGGGCGAAAGCCUGAGGCAGCAACGCCGCGUGAGGGAUGAAGGCCUUCGGGUUGUAAACCUCUUUUAGCAGGGAAGAAGCGAAAGUGACGGUACCUGCAGAAAAAGCACCGGCUAACUACGUGCCAGCCGCCGCGGUAA